GAUGAAGAACGUAGCGAAAUGCGAUACGUAAUGUGAAUUGCAAAUUCAGUGAAUCAUCGAGUCUUUGAACGCACAUUGCGCCCCCUGGUAUUCCGGGGGGCAUGCCUGUCCGAGCGUCAUUGCUGCCCUCAAGCACGGCUUGUGUGUUGGGCCCCGUCCUCCGAUCCCGGGGGACGGGCCCGAAAGGCAGCGGCGGCACCGCGUCCGGUCCUCAAGCGUAUGGGGCUUUGUCACCCGCUCUGUAGGCCCGGCCGGCGCUUGCCGAUCAACCCAAAUUUUUAUCCAGGUUGACCUCGGAUCAGGUAGGGAUACCCGCUGAACUUAAGCAUAUCAAUAAGCGGAGGA
RNAcentral lists this unclassified non-coding RNA (345 nucleotides) under soil metagenome. RNAcentral describes it as "partial contains 5.8S ribosomal RNA, internal transcribed spacer 2, and large subunit ribosomal RNA". The stretch from base 1 to 119 matches the Rfam family "5.8S ribosomal RNA", at positions 35 to 154 of the family's 154-position model. The record is from RNAcentral.